RNAcentral lists this ribosomal RNA (257 nucleotides) under uncultured soil bacterium. RNAcentral's name for it is "partial 16S ribosomal RNA". It matches the Rfam family "Bacterial small subunit ribosomal RNA", at positions 26 to 284 of the family's 1533-position model. The record is from RNAcentral.
AGGGCGAACGCUGGCGGCGUGCCUAACACAUGCAAGUCGAACGGGACCAGGGGCAACUCUGGUUCAGUGGCGGACGGGUGCGUAACACGUGAGGAACAUGACCUUCGGCGGGGGAUAGCCGGCCCAACGGCCGGGUAAUACCGCGUACGACCAUCCGGGGACAUCCCUGGGUGGUGAAAGCAGCAAUGCGCCGAUGGAGUGCCUCGCGGCCUAUCAGCUAGUUGGUGAGGUAACGGCUCACCAAGGCGACGACGGGU